AAUAGAUACCCAGGUAGUCCACGCCGUAAACGAUGAGUGCUAGGUGUCACGGGCUUUGACCCUCGUGGUGCCGCAGCUAACGCAAUAAGCACUCCGCCUGGGGAGUACGGCCGCAAGGCUAAAACUCAAAGGGAAUUGACGGGGGCCCGCACAAGCGGUGGAGCAUGUGGUUUAAUUCGACGCGACGCGCAGAACCUUACCUGGGCUAGAAAACGUAGGAACCUGGGUGAAAACUCGGGGUGCUCUUCGGGAGAAUCUACGGUUAGGUGUUGCAUGGCUGUCGUCAGCUCGUGUCGUGAGAUGUUGGGUUAAGUCCCGCAACGAGCGCAACCCUUGUCGUUAGUUGCCAGCAUUGAGUUGGGCACUCUAACGAGACUGCCGACUUUCAAGUCGGAGGAAGGUGGGGAUGACGUCAAGUCCUCAUGGCCCCUAUGUCCAGGGCUACACACGUGCUACAAUGGUCGGUACAAAGGGCUGCGAUACCGCGAGGUGGAGCGAAUCUCAAAAAGCCGGUCUCAGUUCGGAUUGGGGUCUGCAACUGCCCC
Molecule: ribosomal RNA, 545 nt
Filed under: uncultured bacterium
Lineage: Bacteria
Description: bacterial SSU rRNA
Rfam family: Bacterial small subunit ribosomal RNA
Source: RNAcentral